Molecule: ribosomal RNA, 1645 nt
Filed under: mouse gut metagenome
Description: bacterial LSU rRNA
Rfam family: Bacterial large subunit ribosomal RNA
Source: RNAcentral
UUCCAAUCGAACCCGGAGAUAGCUGGUUCUCCCCGAAAUAGCUUUAGGGCUAGCCUCAGGCAAGUCCCAUGGAGGUAGAGCACUGAAUUCCCGCGGGGGCGUCAAAGCUUACCAAAGGAUAUCAAACUCCGAAUGCCAUAGGGAUGGUGCCUGGGAGUCAGGCUGCACGAGAUAAGUUGGGCAGCCAAGAGGGAAAGAGCCCAGACCGCCGGCUAAGGCCCCCAAGUGCGUGUUAAGUGGGAAAGGAUGUGGGGAUUCGAAGACAGCUAGGAUGUUGGCUCAGAAGCAGCCAUGCAUUCAAAGAGUGCGUAACAGCUCACUAGUCGAGAGUCCCUGCGCCGAAAAUGUCCGGGGCUCAAACACGCCGCCGAAGCCGCGGGAUGCAUGCAUAAGCAUGGAUCGGUAGGGGAGCAUUCUUACAACCGGAGAAGCCGCCUUGGAAGGGGCGGUGGAGGGAUAAGAAGGGAGAAUGCCGGAAUGAGUAGCGAGAGGGGGGUGGGAAUCCCCCCGGCCGAAUAUCCAAGGAUUCCAGGGUAAAGCUGAUCUGCCCUGGGGGAGUCGGGGCCUAAGGCGAGGCGGAGACGCGUAGCCGAUGGACAACAGGUUUAGAUUCCUGUACCGUGUAUGGACAGAACUGCGGGGACGCGGAGAGGAACUGCGAGCCGGGAAUGGAAAGACCGGCACAAGCGCUUAAGGGGGCAUGUUGGAAAAGCCGCAUGCAGAAACCAAGGGCGUGACGUGGAGCGAAAUAAAAGUAGCGAAGCGCAGGGAGGAGCCGCCGAGAAAAGCCGCUAUGGCUCCAUAUGCGCCCGUACCGUAAACCGACACAGGUGGAUGAGGAGAGAAUCCUAAGGCCGACGGAAGAAGCAUUGCCAAGGAACUCGGCAAAAUGGCCCCGUAACUUCGGGAGAAGGGGCGCCCGUCGAAAGACGGGCCGCAGGGAAAAGGCCCAAGCAACUGUUUAGCAAAAACACAGGCCUAUGCGAAACCGGAAGGUGAAGUAUAUGGGCUGACGCCUGCCCGGUGCUGGAAGGUUAACGGGAGCGGUCAGGGAGACCGAAGCCGCGAACUUAAGCCCCAGUAAACGGCGGCCGUAACUAUAACGGUCCUAAGGUAGCGAAAUUCCUUGUCGGGUAAGUUCCGACCCGCACGAAAGGCGUAAUGAUUUGGGCGCUGUCUCGGCAAUGCAUCCGGUGAAAUUGAAGUGCCAGUGAAGAUGCUGGCUACCCGCGCCAGGACGGAAAGACCCCAUGGAGCUUUACUCCAGCUUGGCACUGGGGCCCGGUGCUGCACGUACAGGAUAGGUGGGAGGCGAAGAAAGGAGAGCGCAAGCCCUCCGGGAGCCGUCGUUGGGAUACCACCCCUGCAGUACUGGGUCUCUAACCCGCCGCCGUAAGCCGGCGGGGGGACAAUGCCAGGCGGGGAGUUUGACUGGGGCGGUCGCCUCCGAAAGGGUAUCGGAGGCGCCCAAAGGUUCCCUCAGAAUGGACGGAAACCAUUUGAAGAGUGCAAAGGCAGAAGGGAGCCUGACUGCGACGCCGACGGGCGGAGCAGGUACGAAAGUAGGGCUUAGUGAUCCGGUGGCAGAACGUGGGAUUGCCAUCGCUCAACGGAUAAAAGCUACCCUGGGGAUAACAGGCUUAUC